AUUGAACGCUGGCGGCAGGCCUAACACAUGCAAGUCGAGCGGUAGAGAGAAGCUUGCUUCUCUUGAGAGCGGCGGACGGGUGAGUAAUGCCUAGGAAUCUGCCUGGUAGUGGGGGAUAACGUUCGGAAACGGACGCUAAUACCGCAUACGUCCUACGGGAGAAAGCAGGGGACCUUCGGGCCUUGCGCUAUCAGAUGAGCCUAGGUCGGAUUAGCUAGUUGGUGGGGUAAUGGCUCACCAAGGCGACGAUCCGUAACUGGUCUGAGAGGAUGAUCAGUCACACUGGAACUGAGACACGGUCCAGACUCCUACGGGAGGCAGCAGUGGGGAAUAUUGGACAAUGGGCGAAAGCCUGAUCCAGCCAUGCCGCGUGUGUGAAGAAGGUCUUCGGAUUGUAAAGCACUUUAAGUUGGGAGGAAGGGCAGUUACCUAAUACGUGAUUGUUUUGACGUUACCGACAGAA
This 463-nucleotide ribosomal RNA is filed under the name Pseudomonas sp. ON8. Its description in RNAcentral is "bacterial SSU rRNA". It matches the Rfam family "Bacterial small subunit ribosomal RNA", at positions 30 to 486 of the family's 1533-position model. The record is from RNAcentral. Lineage: Bacteria; Pseudomonadati; Pseudomonadota; Gammaproteobacteria; Pseudomonadales; Pseudomonadaceae.